UACGUAGGGGGCAAGCGUUGUCCGGAAUCAUUGGGCGUAAAGAGCGUGUAGGCGGCCCGAUAAGUCCGCCGUGAAAGUCCAGGGCUCAACCCUGGGAUGCCGGUGGAUACUGUCGGGCUCGAGUCCGGAAGAGGCGAGUGGAAUUCCUGGUGUAGCGGUGAAAUGCGCAGAGAUCGGGAGGAACACCCGUAGCGAAGGCGGCACUCUGGGCCGUGACUGACGCUGAGGAGCGAAAGCGUGGGGAGCAAACAGG
RNAcentral lists this ribosomal RNA (253 nucleotides) under uncultured bacterium. RNAcentral describes it as "partial 16S ribosomal RNA". It matches the Rfam family "Bacterial small subunit ribosomal RNA", at positions 524 to 776 of the family's 1533-position model. The record is from RNAcentral.